Molecule: ribosomal RNA, 592 nt
Filed under: uncultured archaeon
Lineage: Archaea
Description: bacterial SSU rRNA
Rfam family: Archaeal small subunit ribosomal RNA
Source: RNAcentral
GCACGGCUCAGUAACACGUAGUCAACCUACCCUGGGGACGGGGAUAACCUCGGGAAACUGAGGCUAAACCCCGAUGGGCCAUGGCUCCUGGAAUGGGCUAUGGCUGAAAUCUACAUGGCCCCAGGAUGGGACUGCGGCCGAUCAGGUUGUUGGUGGGGUAAUGGCCCACCAAGCCUAUAACCGGUGCGGGCUCUGAGAGGAGGAGCCCGGAGAUGGGCACUGAGACAAGGGCCCAGGUCCUAUGGGGCGCAGCAGGCGCGAAACCUCCGCAAUGGGCGAAAGCCCGACGGGGUUAGUCCGAGUGGUCCCUGCUGAAGGGGCCUUUUGCCAGCUGUAAAAAGGCUGGCGAAUAAGGGGUGGGCAAGUUUGGUGUCAGCCGCCGCGGUAAUACCAGCACCCCGAGUGGUCGGGACGAUUAUUGGGCCUAAAGCAUCCGUAGCCGGCUUAGCAAGUCCUCCGUUAAAUCCAACGGCUUAACCGUUGGGCUGCGGAGGAUACUGCUAAGCUAGGGGGCGGGAGAGGCGAGGGGUAUUCCCGGGGUAGGGGUAAAAUCCACUGAUCCCGGGAGGACCACCAGUGGCGAAGGCGCCUC